CGACCGCGCACGGGUGAGUAACACGUAUCCAACCUGCCGAUGACUCGGGGAUAGCCUUUCGAAAGAAAGAUUAAUACCCGAUGGCAUAGUUCUUCCGCAUGGUAGAACUAUUAAAGAAUUUCGGUCAUCGAUGGGGAUGCGUUCCAUUAGCUUGUUGGCGGGGUAACGGCCCACCAAGGCAUCGAUGGAUAGGGGUUCUGAGAGGAAGGUCCCCCACAUUGGAACUGAGACACGGUCCAAACUCCUACGGGAGGCAGCAG
This 260-nucleotide ribosomal RNA is filed under the name uncultured bacterium. Its description in RNAcentral is "partial 16S ribosomal RNA". It matches the Rfam family "Bacterial small subunit ribosomal RNA", at positions 93 to 354 of the family's 1533-position model. The record is from RNAcentral.